This is a non-coding RNA of Coturnix japonica (Japanese quail), 652 nucleotides long. The record is from RefSeq and is a predicted model, not a curated record. NCBI's taxonomy places the organism in Eukaryota, Metazoa, Chordata, Aves, Galliformes, Phasianidae.
CCUGAUAAGAGAAGAGAGGUGGAAGAGAAGAGAGAGAGCUCCAGUGAGUUCUGAUGCCAAGGAUUUUCAUUUCUGUGUCACGGAAACCAGAAGGAUCAUAAUGGACUCUGGCAAAGAAGUCGACACCACAGAAGAGCCCGCUACCAGUGUCCAUUCUGUAUCUCUCCCUAAAAUGAACCGUGCUUCAAACACACACACACAACCACAUCAGCUUGACUGACGUGCUGUAUUUUAUCCUGCUUUAACAACAGCAACCAGGAAAUACCAGCAGUGGUCAUCACACACACAGCACAGAAAAAGGGUGAAGUGUAGCCUCAGAAGCCAGUAUCAACUGAGCUGGAGAAGCUGCAUCUGGUUUGAAAGCAAAGAAGGACUCCGUUCAUUACUCACUACAGCCUGCAUGUAAAAUAGGCAGCAGAUACAGGACCGCUCCAUUGAAUUUUCCCUGAGCCAAAGUAGGUAUGGAAACAUCUGCAAAAGCUGGUCAGCUCAUGAAGCAAGGCGCUAAAGAGCAACCUACUGCCAUUGAGGAAAUCAGGACAGGUCCAUGUAAUAACAGCAAGCAGAGGUAGAAACAAAUGCACGGCAACCAUAAGAAAACUGUAGCUGCGACAAAUGAGAAAGUAAAAUUCACUCCUGAAACGAUGCUGAC